RNAcentral lists this ribosomal RNA (406 nucleotides) under uncultured bacterium. RNAcentral describes it as "partial 16S ribosomal RNA". It matches the Rfam family "Bacterial small subunit ribosomal RNA", at positions 30 to 526 of the family's 1533-position model. The record is from RNAcentral.
AUUGAACGCUGGCGGCAGGCCUAACACAUGCAAGUCGAGCGAGCGGCGGACGGGUGAGUAAUGUCUGGGAAACUGCCUGAUGGAGGGGGAUAACUACUGGAAACGGUAACUAAUACCGCAUACAAUCAGAUUUGCCCAGAUGGGAUUAGCUAGUAGGUGGGGUAACGGCCCACCUAGGCGACGAUCCCUAGCUGGUCUGAGAGGAUGAUCAGCCACACUGGAACUGAGACACGGUCCAGACUCCUACGGUAGGCAGCAGUGGGGAAUAUUGCACAAUGGGCGCAAGCCUGAUGCAGCAAGGCCGCGUGUGUGAAGAAGGCCUUCGGGUUGUAAAGCACUUUCAGCGGGGAGGCGUUACCCGCAGAAGAAGCACCGGCUAACUCCGUGCCAGCAGCCGCGGUAAUUC